UGGGGAAUAUUGCACAAUGGACGGAAGUUUGAUGCAGCGACGCCGCGUGGAGGGUGUAGGCCUUCGGGUUGUGAACUCCUUUUUCUCGCGAAAAAGGCACAGUUUUGGCUGUGUUGAUGGUAGUGGGGGAAGAAGCGCCGGCUAACUACGUGCCAGCAGCCGCGGUAAUACGUAGGGCGCGAGCGUUGUCCGGAUUUUUUGGGCGUAAAGAGCUCGUAGGUGGUUCGUCGCGUCUGUCGUGAAAGCCAGCAGCUUAACUGUUGGUCUGCGGUGGGUACGGGCGGGCUUGAGUGCGGUAGGGGUGACUGGAAUUCCUGGUGUAGCGGUGGAAUGCGCAGAUAUCAGGAGGAACACCGAUGGCGAAGGCAGGUCACUGGGCCGUUACUGACACUGAGGAGCGAAAGCGUGGGGAGCGAACAGG
RNAcentral lists this ribosomal RNA (421 nucleotides) under Fusobacteriota bacterium. Its description in RNAcentral is "Fusobacteria bacterium partial 16S ribosomal RNA". It matches the Rfam family "Bacterial small subunit ribosomal RNA", at positions 355 to 776 of the family's 1533-position model. The record is from RNAcentral. Lineage: Bacteria; Fusobacteriati; Fusobacteriota.